This 85-nucleotide ribosomal RNA is filed under the name Disa cardinalis. RNAcentral describes it as "partial 25S ribosomal RNA". It matches the Rfam family "Eukaryotic large subunit ribosomal RNA", at positions 1 to 82 of the family's 3401-position model. Lineage: Eukaryota; Viridiplantae; Streptophyta; Magnoliopsida; Asparagales; Orchidaceae. The record is from RNAcentral. RNAcentral also lists the same sequence under 6 other names.
GUGCAACCCCAGGAUGGGCGGGGUGACCCGCUGAGUUUAAGCAUAUCAAUAAGCGGAGGAGAGGAAACUUACAAGGAUUCCCCUA